Molecule: transfer RNA, 64 nt
Filed under: Ailuropoda melanoleuca (giant panda)
Lineage: Eukaryota; Metazoa; Chordata; Mammalia; Carnivora; Ursidae
Rfam family: tRNA
About the family: Transfer RNA (tRNA) molecules are approximately 80 nucleotides in length. Their secondary structure includes four short double-helical elements and three loops (D, anti-codon, and T loops). Further hydrogen bonds mediate the characteristic L-shaped molecular structure. tRNAs have two regions of fundamental functional importance: the anti-codon, which is responsible for specific mRNA codon recognition, and the 3' end, to which the tRNAs corresponding amino acid is attached (by aminoacyl-tRNA synthetases). tRNAs cope with the degeneracy of the genetic code in two manners: having more than one tRNA (with a specific anti-codon) for a particular amino acid; and 'wobble' base-pairing, i.e. permitting non-standard base-pairing at the 3rd anti-codon position.
Source: Rfam by way of RNAcentral
GCUCAGUUGGUAGACCAUGAGACUCUUGAUCUCAGGGUUGGGGGUUCAAGCCCCACAUUGGGCA